GACGAACGCUGGCGGCGUGCUUAACACAUGCAAGUCGAACGGAAAGGCCCCGCUUUUGUGGGGUGCUCGAGUGGCGAACGGGUGAGUAACACGUGAGUAACCUGCCCUUGACUUUGGGAUAACUUCAGGAAACUGGGGCUAAUACCGGAUAGGAGCUCCUGCUGCAUGUUGGGGGUUGGAAAGUUUCGGCGGUUGGGGGUGGACUCGCGGCUUAUCAGCUUGUUGGUGGGGUAGUGGCUUACCAAGGCUUUGACGGGUAGCCGGCCUGAGAGGGUGACCGGCCACAUUGGGACUGAGAUACGGCCCAGACUCCUACGGGAGGCAGCAGUGGGGAAUAUUGCACAAUGGGCGGAAGCCUGAUGCAGCAACGCCGCGUGCGGGAUGACGGCCUUCGGGUUGUAAACCGCUUUCGCCUGUGACGAAGCGUGAGUGACGGUAAUGGGUAAAGAAGCACCGGCUAACUACGUG
Molecule: ribosomal RNA, 468 nt
Filed under: uncultured bacterium
Lineage: Bacteria
Description: partial 16S ribosomal RNA
Rfam family: Bacterial small subunit ribosomal RNA
Source: RNAcentral